This 500-nucleotide ribosomal RNA is filed under the name uncultured bacterium. RNAcentral's name for it is "partial 16S ribosomal RNA". It matches the Rfam family "Bacterial small subunit ribosomal RNA", at positions 30 to 523 of the family's 1533-position model. The record is from RNAcentral.
AUUGAACGCUUGCGGAAUGCUUUACACAUGCAAGUCGAACGGCAGCACGGACUUCGGUCUGGUGGCGAGUGGCGAACGGGUGAGUAAUGUAUCGGAACGUGCCCAGUCGUGGGGGAUAACGUAGUGAAAAUUACGCUAAUACCGCAUACGAUCUAUGGAUGAAAGCGGGGGAUCGCAAGACCUCGCGCGAUUGGAGCGGCCGAUAUCAGAUUAGGUAGUUGGGGGGGUAAAGGCCCACCAAGCCAACGAUCUGUAGCUGGUCUGAGAGGACGACCAGCCACACUGGAACUGAGACACGGUCCAGAAUCCUACGGGAGGCAGCAGUGGGGUAUUUUGGACAAUGGGCGAAAGCCUGAUCCAGCCAUUCCGCGUGCAGGAUGAAGGACCUCGGGUUGUAAACUGCUUUUGUACAGAACGAAAAGGUUUCUACUAAUACUAGGAGCUCAUGACGGUACUGUAAGAAUAAGCACCGGCUAACUACGUGCCAGCCGCCGCCGUAA